This 210-nucleotide ribosomal RNA is filed under the name Salmonella enterica subsp. enterica serovar Kentucky str. 13562. RNAcentral's name for it is "partial 23S ribosomal RNA". It matches the Rfam family "Bacterial large subunit ribosomal RNA", at positions 594 to 807 of the family's 2925-position model. Lineage: Bacteria; Pseudomonadati; Pseudomonadota; Gammaproteobacteria; Enterobacterales; Enterobacteriaceae. The record is from RNAcentral.
UGACUGCGUACCUUUUGUAUAAUGGGUCAGCGACUUAUAUUCUGUAGCAAGGUUAACCGAUAGGGGAGCCGGAGGGAAACCGAGUCUUAAUUGGGCGUUAAGUUGCAGGGUAUAGACCCGAAACCCGGUGAUCUAGCCAUGGGCAGGUUGAAGGUUGGGUAACACUAACUGGAGGACCGAACCGACUAAUGUUGAAAAAUUAGCGGAUGA